This 800-nucleotide ribosomal RNA is filed under the name uncultured bacterium. Its description in RNAcentral is "bacterial SSU rRNA". It matches the Rfam family "Bacterial small subunit ribosomal RNA", at positions 8 to 805 of the family's 1533-position model. The record is from RNAcentral.
AGAGUUUGAUCCUGGCUCAGGAUGAACGCUAGCGGCAGGCCUAAUACAUGCAAGUCGAGGGAGAUUGUUGGAUUCGUCUGACAUGAAACCGGCGCACGGGUGCGUAACACGUAUGCAACCUACCUUUAACUGGGGUAUAGCUCAGAGAAAUCUGAAUUAAUCCCCCAUAAGACUACGACAUGGCAUCAUGAUGUAGUUAAAGCUCCGGCGGUUAAGGAUGGGCAUGCGGUACAUUAGCUAGUUGGUGAGGUAAUGGCUCACCAAGGCUACGAUGUAUAGGGGGUCUGAGAGGAUGAUCCCCCACACUGGUACUGAGACACGGACCAGACUCCUACGGGAGGCAGCAGUAGGGAAUAUUGGUCAAUGGACGCAAGUCUGAACCAGCCAUGCCGCGUGAAGGAUGAAGGCCCUAUGGGUCGUAAACUUCUUUUAUUAGGGGAGAAAAAAUGGGAUGCGUCCUAUACUGACGGUACUUAAUGAAUAAGGAUCGGCUAACUUCGUGCCAGCAGCCGCGGUAAGACGAAGGAUCCAAGCGUUGUCCGGAUUUACUGGGUUUAAAGGGUGCGUAGGCGGAAAAUUAAGUCAGUGGUGAAAGCCCGCAGCUCAACUGUGGAACUGCCAUUGAAACUGGUUUUCUUGAAUAUAGCUGAGGCAGAUGGAAUAUAACAUGUAGCGGUGAAAUGCUUAGAUAUGUUAUAGAACACCGAUUGCGAAGGCAGUCUGCUAAACUAUUAUUGACGCUGAGGCACGAAAGCGUGGGGAGCGAACAGGAUUAGAUACCCUGGUAGUCCACGCCCUAA